This 71-nucleotide transfer RNA is filed under the name Bos taurus (domestic cattle). It matches the Rfam family "tRNA". Rfam says of the family: Transfer RNA (tRNA) molecules are approximately 80 nucleotides in length. Their secondary structure includes four short double-helical elements and three loops (D, anti-codon, and T loops). Lineage: Eukaryota; Metazoa; Chordata; Mammalia; Artiodactyla; Bovidae. The record is from Rfam by way of RNAcentral. RNAcentral also lists the same sequence under 5 other names.
UUACUGGUGGUCCAGUGCUAAGACUCUGUGCUUCCAAUGCAGGGGCCCAGGUUUGAUCCCUGGUCAGGGAA